This 982-nucleotide long non-coding RNA is filed under the name Gopherus agassizii (Agassiz's desert tortoise). Its description in RNAcentral is "lncRNA (ENSGAGG00000001546.1)". Lineage: Eukaryota; Metazoa; Chordata; Testudines; Testudinidae. The record is from RNAcentral.
CCGGUGCCAUGGAAACGCGGCCUGUUGUCCCCGGCGCUGCGGGCAGCCUGGCGCAGCACGGGGCUCCGCGUGGCCCGUCCGGCCGCCUUCCAUGGACUCGGCCAGGGCCUACUGCCUCCCGCAAGUCCCCGCCUCGAGCCCCGCCCUUUCCUUCCCCUCUUCCCCGGCGGCGGCGGGCCUAACCCAGGCGCGGGCGCGGGCCGAGGCGCAGCUGCGCUCCGCGGUAGCCUGCGAGCGGGCCAUGCGCUGGAGCGAGGUUGUUGAACAUUAUACAGCACUCUUGAAAACUCUGAGCAAAGAGGAACUUCCUAAAGACUUUGAGCCUGGGCCUUACUAUUCACAACUGCUAUUUGAAACCUAUUAUCAUUUAGCUGUAGCUUUCCAAAGACAGAAUCACCAUAAGGAAGCAGUUCAAGAGCUUAAUAAAGCAAUAGACGUUGCAUCUAUCCCUAAGAUUGCUUGUCAAGUUGGAUGUGUUUCCAGAACUUUCCUUCAUACACCACUAUUUGCGAGAAGAGCGUAUGCAUAUGUAAAAUGUGGUCGUUUGAAAGAAGCAAUAGAUGAUGCUAACAAGGCUGUUGAGUUAGACCCUUUGAACCCUGAUGUAUAUUGUGUUCGAGCUCUUGUUUGGAACACAGUGAAAGAAAAGAAGAGAGCGCUUUUUGAUUUAAACUGUAGCCAGAAGCUAAAGCCUUCUCAUAUUUCCACUUUGAUCAUAAAGGGAAUUAUUAAAAAUUCUCUUAUGGCAACAGAGGGUACAAAGUCUUUAGUGAAGAAUAAAGAUCAUGAAAAGGUAAAUGACAUCUGAUUUAACUUAUCUGUCUCAUAUGGUGUUUAAAAAAGAAGACUGUGGCUGAGACAGGGGACCGAAAUCAGCCGUGGUGUAAGCGGAUGCAGCUCUUUUAUUGCUGUCAAUGCUAAUUCUAAGGCUGAAUUUGGUAGUUUUGGUUACAGAUUUUGCACUUGAUCUGACCUUUCUGUG